Molecule: long non-coding RNA, 1331 nt
Filed under: Scleropages formosus (Asian bonytongue)
Lineage: Eukaryota; Metazoa; Chordata; Actinopteri; Osteoglossiformes; Osteoglossidae
Description: lncRNA (ENSSFOG00015025505.1)
Source: RNAcentral
AUGCUUUUCUGUAAAAAAAAAACGUGCAAUGAUUUACUCUUUAUUGGCGCAAUCCGGGGAAAGAACCUUCAUCAAGGGAACCAAAGGAGGAGGGUGGCAAUGGUCCGGAGCCUAUCCUGCAAGCACAGGCUAUGGAACAGAGCACAGUCUGAACACCGGUCCGUCACAAGGUAUCCACGUACAUCUUUUUUUUCAAUUCCAACUUUAUUAAGAAAUAAAUUAUUCACAUCUAAACUCCAGUUUCUGUCGCAGGGGUCCGUGACGCCGCUCGCCACCCUGCCCCCUCCUGCUGCCCGGAAGGCAUUGCACCCGACCCCCAUGUUGGACCUCGUGGGUGGUGGGCCCACGUGGCACCCCCACGUUGCCUUUUCGGGCUGAGCCCGGUGGGGUUAGGUGGGCUACCCAGCCACCAGGCGCUCACCUAGGAACACUACCCUCGGGUCUGGCUCCAGGGGUAGGUCCUGGUGAUCCUAUUCGGGGCAGGGUAAACGCUGUCUUGUUCACCUUCGCCAUGUUGGUUUUAUGGAUAAUAGGUGCCUCCCUGGUGGUCUCAGCAUCGCACUUAUUGAAGCGAAGUCCGUAUUUACGGGAAACUGGUCUUGUGUUCCACGGAAUACGCCGCACAACGUAUAUACGAAUGCCAAAGAAAAUAGUGAAAUGCGGCAAGACGACACAAACCGAAUGUGGAACGGUGCCAGGAUGGUCUCCGGAAAAGCGGUUUUCAUCCGCGUGCAGUUUUUCGUAAGCAAGCAUUCUGUUAUACAGAGAAAGGAGCUGCUGUGAUGGGUUUCUCGCUCAGGCCUGAAAACUCUUCGUUAGACUGAGUUGUGAGCACGUCUUAAUUAAUUAUUAAUUUGUACUAUUAAUAGGCCACUCGGAUCGCCUACACUAAGCUACUUACAAUUAUUUUCUCGUCCACACAGCGGGGAAGUGUAACACACACUCUGACACACACACUGUGAGUAAUUCAGAGUCACCGGUUCACCGGAAACACAUCGCUGGACUGUGGGAGGCAACCAGAGCAACUGAAAGAAGCCUACACGAACGCAGGGUGAACAUGUGACUCCUCACAGGCUGAGCCACACUCAAACCCUGAACCCAAGACUACUGAUUCCAUUUUUGCACCUAUCCUCACCGCAGUGUCUGUCAAAACGUGACAGUGAAACCCCAUUCAAGCCUUGGGGUCUCAUAAUGGUCAAGAGUCCAGCCUGGUGAUAUUUACACCAUGAGUGGUCUCUAUGGGUGAAGAUAUGAACAAAUUUCACAUGAAUCACAUAUAUUUACACGCUACUUUCACAUUUAUUUGUUCAACUCACACUUUUCACCAAAGC